Molecule: ribosomal RNA, 1408 nt
Filed under: uncultured bacterium
Lineage: Bacteria
Description: bacterial SSU rRNA
Rfam family: Bacterial small subunit ribosomal RNA
Source: RNAcentral
AGAGUUUGAUCCUGGCUCAGGAUGAACUCUAGCGACAGGCCUAACACAUGCAAGUCGAGGGGCAUCGGGGCGAGGAGCAAUCCUUGCCGCCGGCGACCGGCGCACGGGUGAGUAACGCGUAUGCGACCUGCCCGUUGCAGGGGGAUAAUCGGGAGAAAUCCCGUCUAAUACCGCGUAAUGCCGCGGGGCUGCAUGGCCCUGCGGCCAAAGGGAGCGAUUCCGGCAACGGAUGGGCAUGCGUGACAUUAGCUAGUUGGCGGGGCAACGGCCCACCAAGGCGACGAUGUCUAGGGGUUCUGAGAGGAAGGUCCCCCACACUGGUACUGAGACACGGACCAGACUCCUACGGGAGGCAGCAGUGAGGAAUAUUGGUCAAUGGGCGCGAGCCUGAACCAGCCAAGUCGCGUGAGGGAUGACGGCCCUACGGGUUGUAAACCUCUUUUGUCGGGGAGCAAAUUCCGUUACGUGUAACGGAGUCGAGAGUACCCGAAGAAAAAGCAUCGGCUAACUCCGUGCCAGCAGCCGCGGUAAUACGGAGGAUGCGAGCGUUAUCCGGAUUUAUUGGGUUUAAAGGGUGCGUAGGCGGACUGUCAAGUCAGCGGUAAAAUACGGGGGCUCAACCUCCGCCCGCCGUUGAAACUGACGGUCUUGAGUGGGCGAGAAGUAUGCGGAAUGCGUGGUGUAGCGGUGAAAUGCAUAGAUAUCACGCAGAACUCCGAUUGCGAAGGCAGUAUACCGGCGCCCAACUGACGCUGAAGCACGAAAGCGUGGGUAUCGAACAGGAUUAGAUACCCUGGUAGUCCACGCAGUAAACGAUGAAUACUAGCUGUCCGGGGCGAAUGAGCCCUGGGUGGCACAGCGAAAGCGUUAAGUAUUCCACCUGGGGAGUACGCCGGCAACGGUGAAACUCAAAGGAAUUGACGGGGGCCCGCACAAGCGGAGGAACAUGUGGUUUAAUUCGAUGAUACGCGAGGAACCUUACCCGGGCUCAAACGACACAGGAACGUACCUGAAAGGGUUCGGCUCUACGGAGCCCGUGUCGAGGUGCUGCAUGGUUGUCGUCAGCUCGUGCCGUGAGGUGUCGGCUUAAGUGCCAUAACGAGCGCAACCCUUAUCUUCAGUUACUAACAGGUCAUGCUGAGGACUCUGGAGAGACUGCCGUCGUAAGAUGUGAGGAAGGUGGGGAUGACGUCAAAUCAGCACGGCCCUUACGUCCGGGGCUACACACGUGUUACAAUGGGAGGUACAGAAGGCCGCUACCUGGCGACAGGAUGCCAAUCCCCAAAACCUCUCUCAGUUCGGAUCGAAGUCUGCAACCCGACUUCGUGAAGCUGGAUUCGCUAGUAAUCGCGCAUCAGCCAUGGCGCGGUGAAUACGUUCCCGGGCCUUGCACUCACCGCCCGUCAAG